GCUUGCAGUAAGCCAAGAUUGUGCCACUGCACUCCAGCCUGGGCGACAGAGAGAGAGACUCUGUCUCAAAAAAAAAAAAAAAGUUCUUUCCGGGACACAAAGGCAUACAAGUGCACAAUUUCUCUAAACAGGCCGGAACUAGUGCAUACUCAUGAUCUCUUAUUAGGAGAAAGUUACUAAAAUCAGUCUCUUGUCUAAUUAAAGCUGUAGUUAUGGCUGGCAGAGCCGGGGCUGGGGGUCACUUCGUAUCUAAUGGGGUGCCAUGUUUGUAACCAGACCCAGGUUUGGCUGCUCACCACUUGAAAGCCAAACAUGAGAAGUGAGGGUGGUGGAAGGAAAAAUAACCAAGUUGUAAAGACCAGCUCCACAAGCCUGCUAGCACUUGCUUAAAGCCAACUUUUCCUUCCACCAACUCUCACCUCUCAUGUCUGGCUUUCUAGCAGUGAGCAGCUGAACCUCGGUCCAGUUACAACAGCAACAGCUUAAAGUUGAAUGGGACUCUUGCUGUCUCUGCUGAUGGAAGUAUUCCCCCUGUGGAAACCAGGAUCUUUAGAUCUACAGAGCCUAAAGCUGCAAGAGUAAGAAGAACAAAUUCUCCAAGUGAGUCAUUGGUAAAGAUGGAGUGGCCAUGGAAGAAGAUGGCUGAUGUCAACUAGACUACUACUUGUUUGGACCACUACCAAUGAUUCGGACUACUGGGUUGUUGAGUGCCUCCUCCACAGCAUAUACUCUCUGAAUGGGGCCUGCAGGAGCUGACAGGGAUCCGUGCUGGGGAUAGAUGCUGCUGACAACCUGAAGAAGAAUCCACCCUCUGGCUCUGAAAUUAACCGCGCUCAGCAGUCUUGUAGCCAGAGUGAGAGCACCUUCCCCCUGCAGCCCUCCUGGGGAGCCGCAGCCCGGAGGACUGAGGAGUGCCCUCCGUUGCAGGUGGGAGUGGCGGGAUGGGAGUGUGGAGAUCCAGAGUGGCCACCAGGCCAUUGCUCGACCUAGUUCCUGCUCAGUCCCUCUGGGGCUGGCAGACUUCACAGUCCAGCUUGCUCUGGGGAGACCACAUUCUGGAGGCAGCAGCCACCACCGUCCUGGGGCUCUGUCUUUCAAAGAGAAGCCUCUGUCCUUUUCAAAGACAGAACACCUGUGCUUGGCAGGCAAGAAUAACAUUGAUGGUGGGAAAUCCCAUUCUCUAAAAUAUUAUAAAACAGAAAGUAUGAAGGAAUUAAAGUCCACUGAAAAAGUAUCCUGGGACUGGGUGCAGUGUUGAUGCCUGCAAUUCUAGCACUUUGGGAGGCUGAGACAGGAGGAUUGCUUGAGGCCACAAGUUUGAGACCAGCCUGGGCAACAAAAAUGAGACCCAGUCUCUACAAAAAAAAUUUUAAAAUUAG
Molecule: long non-coding RNA, 1379 nt
Organism: Piliocolobus tephrosceles (Ugandan red Colobus)
Lineage: Eukaryota; Metazoa; Chordata; Mammalia; Primates; Cercopithecidae
Exons: 3
Source: RefSeq, a predicted model, not a curated record